Molecule: ribosomal RNA, 460 nt
Filed under: uncultured bacterium
Lineage: Bacteria
Description: partial 16S ribosomal RNA
Rfam family: Bacterial small subunit ribosomal RNA
Source: RNAcentral
CCUACGGGUGGCAGCAGUGAGGCAUAUUGGUCAAUGGACGAGAGUCUGAACCAGCCAAGUAGCGUGAAGGAUGACUGCCCUAUGGGUUGUAAACUUCUUUUAUAUGGGAAUAAAAUGUUCCACGUGUGGGAUUUUGUAUGUACCAUAUGAAUAAGGAUCGGCUAACUCCGUGCCAGCAGCCGCGGUAAUACGGAGGAUCCGAGCGUUAUCCGGAUUUAUUGGGUUUAAAGGGAGCGUAGGUGGAUUGUUAAGUCAGUUGUGAAAGUUUGCGGCUCAACCGUAAAAUUGCAGUUGAAACUGGCAGUCUUGAGUACAGGAGAGGUGGGCGGAAUUCGUGGUGUAGCGGUGAAAUGCUUAGAUAUCACGAAGAACUCCGAUUGCGAAGGCAGUUCACUGGACUGCAACUGACACUGAGGCUCGAAAGUGUGGGUAUCAAACAGGAUUAGAUACCCCAGUAGUC